Molecule: non-coding RNA, 90 nt
Filed under: human gut metagenome
Description: THF riboswitch
Rfam family: THF (Tetrahydrofolate) riboswitch aptamer
About the family: THF riboswitch presents a pseudoknot that joins P1-P2 and the loop of P3 and two THF binding.
Source: RNAcentral
UAGAGUAGCAAAGAUGCGUAAAGUGUUGCAAAAUGGGAUGUCGUUUGCAAACGAAAAGGCUAAGCCUUGCGGUGUCUUUGCGCGUCCGCU